UGUUCUGUUUCAUACAGUAAACAGUGUGACGGUCGGUUCAGGUCGAUUAUAGAUGCAAACAGAGAGCUCAAACAACUUCAGAAACAGUCGGGAGAGAGGAAACACUAUAUGUUAAAGGUUAUGUUAUGUUAUGUUAUGUUAAAGGUUAUGCUUUGUUAUGUUAUGUUAAAGGUUAUGUUA
This is a long non-coding RNA of Sebastes umbrosus (honeycomb rockfish), 180 nucleotides long. RefSeq lists it as uncharacterized. The transcript has 3 exons. Lineage: Eukaryota; Metazoa; Chordata; Actinopteri; Perciformes; Sebastidae. The record is from RefSeq and is a predicted model, not a curated record.